This 253-nucleotide ribosomal RNA is filed under the name uncultured bacterium. RNAcentral's name for it is "partial 16S ribosomal RNA". It matches the Rfam family "Bacterial small subunit ribosomal RNA", at positions 524 to 776 of the family's 1533-position model. The record is from RNAcentral.
UACGUAGGGUGCAAGCGUUGUCCGGAAUUAUUGGGCGUAAAGAGCUUGUAGGCGGUUUGUCGCGUCUGCUGUGAAAUUUCGGGGCUCAACCCCGAACUUGCAGUGGGUACGGGCAGACUAGAGUGUGGUAGGGGAGACUGGAAUUCCUGGUGUAGCGGUGAAAUGCGCAGAUAUCAGGAGGAACACCGAUGGCGAAGGCAGGUCUCUGGGCAUUAACUGACACUGAAAAACGAAAGCCAGGGGAGCAAACGGG